UAAAAUAAAACAGUGUUUCAUUGUUUUUAGGUAACUGAAGAGAGAAUGCUGACAUGAGUAACGUAAAAAGAAGUUAUAAUACUUCUCGCCGAAUACGAAAGGGUUGUAAGGAAAGGUUGAACCGCCUUAUGUAAUUGCGGCCUCUAAGGACCAAAACCAAUGUUUUGGCUGAUGAGUACUUAACCUAAAGUCCAUAUUAUAUGGACCAGGAAAAUAAAGUUAACUUAAUUAAAUUAAAUAAUUUUAUUUUAUUUAUUACCGGCUAGCCGCUAAAUUAAAUAUUUAAUUAUUUAUUUUUAAUUAAGACUACCGUACCCUAGACCGACACAGGUUCGUAAGUAGAGAAUACUAAGGCGUAGAGCUAAAAGUUGUUAAGGAACUCGGCAAGUUCUCCUCAUAAGUUUGACGAUAAGAGGAACCAGAGAUAUAUAAUUUAAUUAUAUUAUUUUCUGGUGGCACAGAAUCGGAGGCCCCGACUGUUUACUAAAAACACAAUUCAGAGCAAUGAUUAAUAUCAUAGUAUUCUGGAUGAAAUUUGCUCAAUGCCAUUAAUACAAGAGAGGUGAUGGGAUAACUGUUACUAAUCGAAAUUCUGGUGAAUAGCGGUCUUAACUAUGAGGAUCCUAAGGUAGCAAAAUCAGUUGGCCAUUAAAUGUGGUCCGGUAUCAGUAGUGUAACGAUGGUCUCACUGUCUCUACAACUUGCUCAGUGAAAUUGAAUUACCCGUGCAGAUGCGGGUUGCCUCCAGGUGGACGGGAAGACCCUAUGCAGCUUUACUGUAGUUAGUUAUCAUGUUAAUCUAGAACAACCUUGGUCAAAGUGAUUAGGGAAGUCGAUAGACGCAAAGUGGAAUACCUCGAGACUAGGGUUGGGUUAAUAUUUACCUUAUACUUUAUAAGUAGAGGGAUAGGUGACUAAUUGGCAGUUUGACUGGGGCGGUCGUUUUUAAAAUAGUAUCAAAAUGCAUCCAAUGAUUUAAUUAGCCGGAAGGCUUCUAAUGUUAAUCUUUCGCCGCGGGGCGCUAAAAUUAAUAUACAGACAUAAAUAAUCAAAAUAAAAAAUA
Molecule: non-coding RNA, 1063 nt
Filed under: Rhizopogon vinicolor AM-OR11-026
Lineage: Eukaryota; Fungi; Basidiomycota; Agaricomycetes; Boletales; Rhizopogonaceae
Description: Bacterial large subunit ribosomal RNA
Rfam family: Bacterial large subunit ribosomal RNA
Source: Rfam by way of RNAcentral